UUGCUGAUUUUUUUCAAGUUUAGAUGUAAUUAAAGAACUUUGUUCAAUCGGAACACUAACAGGCUUACAACCAAGGUACCCAAACUCACUCAAAAGUUCAAGACAAUACUUUCAUGCAAGCAAACAGACCAACAAAACAGAACAAAUACACAACAACUAGAAACCCUAAAUGGCGAAGCUGAGUCAGUGUCAAGAUUUCAGGUUCAUCACUCACAGAUAAUAUUGC
Molecule: long non-coding RNA, 226 nt
Filed under: Helianthus annuus (common sunflower)
Lineage: Eukaryota; Viridiplantae; Streptophyta; Magnoliopsida; Asterales; Asteraceae
Source: RNAcentral